UAAACCAGUGAUGAGUAUUCUGGGUGUCCGAAAUCAAAGACUUUGAUUAAUCUCUGUAACUCUGAGGUUUGU
Molecule: small nucleolar RNA, 72 nt
Organism: Cynocephalus volans (Philippine flying lemur)
Lineage: Eukaryota; Metazoa; Chordata; Mammalia; Dermoptera; Cynocephalidae
Product: small nucleolar RNA SNORD113/SNORD114 family
Exons: 1
Source: RefSeq, a predicted model, not a curated record